This 502-nucleotide ribosomal RNA is filed under the name uncultured bacterium. Its description in RNAcentral is "partial 16S ribosomal RNA". It matches the Rfam family "Bacterial small subunit ribosomal RNA", at positions 28 to 507 of the family's 1533-position model. The record is from RNAcentral.
GAUUAACGCUGGCGGCGUGCCUAACACAUGCAAGUCGAGCGGCAGCGAGUUUUACACUGAAUUCUGGAAGCUUCUAGUUGAAAGAGAAGAUUUAUUCAAGAAUUUUGUGUAAAAUGUCGGCGAGCGGCGGACGGCUGAGUAACGCGUGGGAACGUACCCCAAAGUGAGGGAUAACGCAUCGAAAGGUGUGCUAAUACCGCAUAUGGUCUUCGGAUUAAAGCCUUCGGGCGCUUUGGGAACGGCCUGCGUAAGAUUAGAUAGUUGGUGGGGUAAUGGCCUACCAAGUCGACGAUCUUUAACUGGUUUGAGAGGAUGAUCAGUCAGACUGGAACUGAGACACGGUCCAGACUCCUACGGGAGGCAGCCGUGAGGAAUCUUCCACAAUGGGCGAAAGCCUGAUGGAGCAACGCCGCGUGCAGGAUGAAGGCCUUCGGGUUGUAAACUGCUUUUAUAAGUGAGGAUUAUGACAGUAACUUAUGAAUAAGGAUCGGCUAACUACGUG